UGGGAAGGGCUGUGGCUGAGUGGAAGAGCCUCUGCUUUGCAUGCAGAAGGUCUCAGGUUCAGUCCCUAGUAUUCCAG
Molecule: transfer RNA, 77 nt
Filed under: Sphaerodactylus townsendi
Lineage: Eukaryota; Metazoa; Chordata; Lepidosauria; Squamata; Sphaerodactylidae
Description: tRNA-Ala
Rfam family: tRNA
About the family: Transfer RNA (tRNA) molecules are approximately 80 nucleotides in length. Their secondary structure includes four short double-helical elements and three loops (D, anti-codon, and T loops). Further hydrogen bonds mediate the characteristic L-shaped molecular structure. tRNAs have two regions of fundamental functional importance: the anti-codon, which is responsible for specific mRNA codon recognition, and the 3' end, to which the tRNAs corresponding amino acid is attached (by aminoacyl-tRNA synthetases). tRNAs cope with the degeneracy of the genetic code in two manners: having more than one tRNA (with a specific anti-codon) for a particular amino acid; and 'wobble' base-pairing, i.e. permitting non-standard base-pairing at the 3rd anti-codon position.
Source: RNAcentral